This 588-nucleotide ribosomal RNA is filed under the name Escherichia coli. RNAcentral describes it as "bacterial SSU rRNA". It matches the Rfam family "Bacterial small subunit ribosomal RNA", at positions 161 to 744 of the family's 1533-position model. Lineage: Bacteria; Pseudomonadati; Pseudomonadota; Gammaproteobacteria; Enterobacterales; Enterobacteriaceae. The record is from RNAcentral.
AGCUAAUACCGCAUAACGUCGCAAGACCAAAGAGGGGGACCUUCGGGCCUCUUGCCAUCGGAUGUGCCCAGAUGGGAUUAGCUAGUAGGUGGGGUAACGGCUCACCUAGGCGACGAUCCCUAGCUGGUCUGAGAGGAUGACCAGCCACACUGGAACUGAGACACGGUCCAGACUCCUACGGGAGGCAGCAGUGGGGAAUAUUGCACAAUGGGCGCAAGCCUGAUGCAGCCAUGCCGCGUGUAUGAAGAAGGCCUUCGGGUUGUAAAGUACUUUCAGCGGGGAGGAAGGGAGUAAAGUUAAUACCUUUGCUCAUUGACGUUACCCGCAGAAGAAGCACCGGCUAACUCCGUGCCAGCAGCCGCGGUAAUACGGAGGGUGCAAGCGUUAAUCGGAAUUACUGGGCGUAAAGCGCACGCAGGCGGUUUGUUAAGUCAGAUGUGAAAUCCCCGGGCUCAACCUGGGAACUGCAUCUGAUACUGGCAAGCUUGAGUCUCGUAGAGGGGGGUAGAAUUCCAGGUGUAGCGGUGAAAUGCGUAGAGAUCUGGAGGAAUACCGGUGGCGAAGGCGGCCCCCUGGACGAAGACUGAC